CUGUGACCGUCCCAUCCUUGCG
Molecule: microRNA, 22 nt
Filed under: Symbiodinium microadriaticum
Lineage: Eukaryota; Dinophyceae; Suessiales; Symbiodiniaceae
Description: smc-miR-12455-5p
Source: miRBase by way of RNAcentral